GGAUGAGAGACUGAUCUGACUGUGGUAUCUCUCACCUUACUGACCUCCAGAAUUGAUUCCGCUCAUCUGGCUGGCUUGGCGGUUGUCUGCUUUUCUCUCACUGCUCCAUGUGUGGCCUUCCCAAAGCUGUAUUCUUGGUUAAAAAUGAUGGCUUUCCCCAGUAGAGGAAGAUCAUUCUUCAGCCAAGGGUGUACGGGCAGCUGCACUCUCCUGUGGGAACCUCCAGCUCUUGAGCUA
This 237-nucleotide small RNA is filed under the name Fukomys damarensis (Damara mole-rat). RNAcentral's name for it is "7SK RNA (ENSFDAG00000003659.1)". It matches the Rfam family "7SK RNA", at positions 1 to 238 of the family's 331-position model. From Rfam's summary of the family: 7SK was discovered as an abundant small nuclear RNA in the mid-70s but a possible function has only recently been suggested. Two independent studies have found that 7SK RNA binds the CDK9/cyclin T complex (known as elongation factor P-TEFb). The record is from RNAcentral. Lineage: Eukaryota; Metazoa; Chordata; Mammalia; Rodentia; Bathyergidae.